AGUGAACGCUGGCGGUAGGCCUAACACAUGCAAGUCGAGCGGCAGCACAGUAAGAGCUCGCUCUUACGGCUGGCGAGUGGCGGGUGAGUGAGGGGUACAUCGCAAUCUACUUUUUCGUGGGUGCUAACGUGGGGGAACUUACGCUAAUACCGCAUACGACCUACGGGUGGAAUCAUGGGACCUUCGGCCCUUGCGCGAUUGAAUGACCCUAUGUCGGAUUAGCUAGUUGGCGGGGUAAAGGCCCACCAAGGCGACGAUCCGUAGCUGGUCUGAGAGGAUGAUCAGCCACACUGGAACUGAGACACGGUCCAGACUCCUACGGGAGGCAGCAGUGGGGAAUAUUGGACAAUGGGCGCAAGCCUGAUCCAGCCAUACCGCGUGGGUGAAGAAGGCCUUCGGAUUGUAAAGCCCUUUUGUUGGGAAAGAAAAGCAGCAGGUUAAUACCUCGCUGUUCUGACGGUACCCAAAGAAUAAGCACCGGCUAACUUCGUG
RNAcentral lists this ribosomal RNA (492 nucleotides) under uncultured bacterium. RNAcentral's name for it is "partial 16S ribosomal RNA". It matches the Rfam family "Bacterial small subunit ribosomal RNA", at positions 29 to 507 of the family's 1533-position model. The record is from RNAcentral.